GGGGGGUUAGCUCAGUGGUAGAGCACUUGCCUAGCAAGCACAAGGCCCUGGGUUCGGUCCCCAGCUCCG
Molecule: transfer RNA, 69 nt
Filed under: Rattus norvegicus (Norway rat)
Lineage: Eukaryota; Metazoa; Chordata; Mammalia; Rodentia; Muridae
Rfam family: tRNA
About the family: Transfer RNA (tRNA) molecules are approximately 80 nucleotides in length.
Source: Rfam by way of RNAcentral